GACGAACGCUGGCGGCGUGCUUAACACAUGCAAGUCGAACGGAAAGGCUCCAGCUUGCUGGAGUACUCGAGUGGCGAACGGGUGAGUAACACGUGGGUAAUCUGCCCUGCACUCUGGGAUAAGCCUGGGAAACUGGGUCUAAUACUGGAUAUGACCUUUCUCCUUAUGGGGUUUGGUGGAAAGUUUUUCGGUGUAGGAUGAGCCCGCGGCCUAUCAGCUUGUUGGUGGGGUGAUGGCCUACCAAGGCGACGACGGGUAGCCGGCCUGAGAGGGUGAUCGGCCACAUUGGGACUGAGAUACGGCCCAGACUCCUACGGGAGGCAGUAGUGGGGAAUAUUGCACAAUGGGCGGAAGCCUGAUGCAGCGACGCCGCGUGAGGGAUGACGGCCUUCGGGUUGUAAACCUCUUUCAGCAGGGACGAAGCGUAAGUGACGGUACCUGCAGAAGAAGCACCGGCUAACUAUGUG
RNAcentral lists this ribosomal RNA (467 nucleotides) under uncultured bacterium. RNAcentral's name for it is "partial 16S ribosomal RNA". It matches the Rfam family "Bacterial small subunit ribosomal RNA", at positions 28 to 507 of the family's 1533-position model. The record is from RNAcentral.